Molecule: ribosomal RNA, 487 nt
Filed under: uncultured bacterium
Lineage: Bacteria
Description: bacterial SSU rRNA
Rfam family: Bacterial small subunit ribosomal RNA
Source: RNAcentral
GACGAACGCUGGCGGCGUGCCUAACACAUGCAAGUCGAGCGGAGAAACAAAAGAGCAGCUUGCUGCGAUUUGUUUCUUAGCGGCGGACGGGUGAGUAACGCGUGGGUAAUCUGCCUCAAACAGGGGGAUAACACAGGGAAACUUGUGCUAAUACCGCAUAAGACCCCACCAUGGCAUCAUGGAGAGGUCAAAGGAAGAAAUUCCGGUUUGAGAUGAGCCCGCGUCUGAUUAGCUAGUUGGUGAGGUAACGGCUCACCAAGGCGACGAUCAGUAGCCGAACUGAGAGGUUGAUCGGCCACAUUGGGACUGAGACACGGCCCAGACUCCUACGGGAGGCAGCAGUGGGGAAUAUUGGGCAAUGGGCGGAAGCCUGACCCAGCCAUGCCGCGUGAAGGAAGACGGCCUUAUGGGUUGUAAACUUCUUUACUAUGCGACUAACUAGAUUUACGAGAUAAUUCUAUAGAAUGUAGCAUAGCAAAAGCACCGG